Long non-coding RNA from Salvelinus fontinalis (brook trout), 1019 nucleotides. RefSeq lists it as uncharacterized. The transcript has 4 exons. The record is from RefSeq and is a predicted model, not a curated record. Lineage: Eukaryota; Metazoa; Chordata; Actinopteri; Salmoniformes; Salmonidae.
UUUAAAUGGAGCUAGCUCGAUCUCAGCGGCUGGUUAGUGUAUUGACUGCAGGUUUCUCAUUUGGGAUGUGCUGUGCUUCGUUGGAAUUUUACGCUAAUUGUCGAGGCAUACCUCCACCUUAAUCGAUGCAUAUGGAUGAUGACCUCCUGUGGUAUGACCUCGGGUUCAUUCAGUUCCAUUCAAAAGGGCCAAGAGUGAACUGAACAUGACGGGCCCGUUCGUUUCACAUCCCAAUUUCCUCAGCAAACAAAUAAAGGGCGGGGUGGCCAGUCAUUAACCCUCAGUAUAUGGAGAAGAAUGCAGUGACGACUCCAAACCCGAGUCAUUCAUGAGCUGACACUGAGGGCCCAGGAGAACUGGCCCUUCUAGGAGGGCUGGAUGCGGUAAUGAGGCCCAGAUUCUUGCUCCCUCUUGCACUUCCUCUCAAUUGGUGGCCAGUCAGAACAAGUCAAGGUUAACAGUGCCAUCUACAGUAGAGUGGCUGCCUCUCUCCAACAGUGUGUUACAGGAAAUGAGGGGUUGAGAGAGCGGUACAGUACUCAGUCAUGAUGACCCAUCUCUAAAAGCAAGAGUGUGUUAUUACAGUUUUAUUAAAGUGAUAGCUAUGGUGUUUUCUACAACUUGGAAACCUAACUCUUCAGAUGGAGAUUGAAUUUGUAUAAUCGUGACAUCCUUUUCAGAGUCACACAAAUUCAAUGCAUUAUUUUGAAAUCAGGUCUCAGAUGUAUACUCCUGAGGUGCUGCACACUCGACAACCACUGUGAUUAUUAUUAUUUGACCAUGCUGGUCAUUUAUGAACAUUUGAACAUCUUGGCCAUGUUCUGUUAUAAUCUCCACCCGGCACAGCCAGAAGAGAACUGGCCACCCCUCAUAGCCUGGUUCCUCUCUAGGUUUCUUCCUAGGUUUUGGCCUUUCUAGGGAGUUUUUCCUAGCCACCGUGUUUCUACACCUGCAUUGCUUGCUGUUUGGGGUUUAGGCUGGGUUUCUGUACAGCACUUUGAGAUAUCAGCUGACGUACG